CUUUUCAACAAUUUACAGUGAACAUCGGCAGCAUUUCUUCUCCCGCUCCAUCGCCAUUACCGCAACCUCCAAGCUCAAUUGCAGUCGCACCUAUAGGAUCUAGUCAGGUAGCACCCGGGCCAGCUCAGGCAUUGCCACCGUCUUCUGCAAUGGCACCGGCGGGAUCCAUUGCCGCCACCUUGACCGCGGUGGCAGCAGCAUUGGUGGUGGUGUUUUGAGACAGGGUUGGAGAAUUGUGUUUGUGAUGUUUGAUCAUAGUAGUAUAGUGGUAUAUUUAGUAGGUGGUGUUUGUCUGGUAUUAGCUGGAAUUAUUGUCGUAAGGGAGAAAACAGGGUAUUAAAUUGGUGUCAUAUGCCUGCAGGUUUUGAGUCUGAAUGAUUAUGGAUGGGGACAUGAUUGCUGGUUUCAUAUUUGUUCUUUCCUUCUUUCCUUUUUCACAGCUCUAAAUACAUUAUAGCCCAACAAGAAUUACAACUCAAUUAAGAUUGUUGCCAAUAGGAUAUUGGAGAAACAGUCCAAUGCCAGGGGCCCAGACCAUAACACUGUAUUUUUUGUACUAUAACACUGCAUUCUUACAAUAGACCAGUAUAAGUUACACCCAAGAUCAGAACAAAACACAAAAACAAAUGUCAAUAAAGCAUUACAAGCAAGAUCAUGUAUACAUACAAUUUCCUCAUUAAUAAUUUGAAAAAAAAAAAAAAAAAAAAAAAAAAGCAAACAUUUGUGAUAUUGUCUGUUGUUUUCUCAAGGCUCCAUUUUCGGGGCAAGCGCGGUGACCGCGUCUGCAACCGUGAGGAAAAUCUUGUCUUCUCCAAUCACAUUUGCAAGACCAGAGGUGUGAAGUUUGUCCAUCACCUUAUGCCCUGGAUUUGCCAGAAUAAGCUGUUCGACAACCAAAAAACAUAGAUUUGUGUAGGUCUUCAACGGCGUGAAUGCCACCGGUGUCUAUAUCAAUAACAGCUGCAAGAAAAUCGGUUUCAGUCUCACUAUCAGCUUAGUCUUUUUGUUAAACGGGCCGGGCCAA
Molecule: long non-coding RNA, 1024 nt
Organism: Ipomoea triloba (trilobed morning glory)
Lineage: Eukaryota; Viridiplantae; Streptophyta; Magnoliopsida; Solanales; Convolvulaceae
Exons: 3
Source: RefSeq, a predicted model, not a curated record